RNAcentral lists this ribosomal RNA (488 nucleotides) under Cicindela nigrilabris. RNAcentral's name for it is "partial large subunit ribosomal RNA". It matches the Rfam family "Bacterial large subunit ribosomal RNA", at positions 1847 to 2596 of the family's 2925-position model. Lineage: Eukaryota; Metazoa; Arthropoda; Insecta; Coleoptera; Carabidae. The record is from RNAcentral.
AAGGUCUGACCUGCCCAAUGAGGAUUUUAAUGGCCGCAGUAUUUUGACUGUGCAAAGGUAGCAUAAUUAUUAGCUUUUUAAUUGAGAGCUUGUAUGAAGGGUUGGACGAAAUAAAAUCUGUCUUUAUUUAGAUUAAAGUAGAAUUUAACUUUUAAGUCAAAAGGCUUAAAUGUUUAUAAAAGACGAGAAGACCCUAUAGAUCUUUAUUUAAUUAUUACUUUGAUAAUUUAGGAUUAUUUUAAUUUAAAGUUUUAAUUGAAUUUUAUUGGGGUAAUAUAAAGAUUAAAUAAAUUCUUUUUAUUUAUUACAUUGAUUUAUGAAUACAUGAUCCAAUAUUAUUGAUUAUAAGAUUAAGUUACCUUAGGGAUAACAGCGUAAUUUUUUUGGAGAGCCCAUAUCGAUAAAAAAGUUUGCGACCUCGAUGUUGGAUUAAAAAUUAUCUUGGGUGCAGAAGUUCAAGAUUUUGGUCUGUUCGACCAUUAAAUUUU